Schistosoma margrebowiei is the source of this 45-nucleotide non-coding RNA. NCBI's taxonomy places the organism in Eukaryota, Metazoa, Platyhelminthes, Trematoda, Strigeidida, Schistosomatidae. The record is from Rfam.
AUCCAACUGACGAGUCCGGAAUAGGACGAAACGUGAGUCGCGGAU